Molecule: unclassified non-coding RNA, 297 nt
Filed under: Glomus sp.
Lineage: Eukaryota; Fungi; Glomeromycota; Glomeromycetes; Glomerales; Glomeraceae
Description: partial contains 5.8S ribosomal RNA and internal transcribed spacer 2
Rfam family: 5.8S ribosomal RNA (bases 1-71)
Source: RNAcentral
GUGAAUCAUCGAAUCUUUGAACGCAAAUUGCACUUUCUGGUAUUCCGGAAAGUAUGCCUGUUUGAGAGUCAGUAAAAUAAAAAACGGUGUUGUUGCAGCUUUUCAUUGUUAAGCGUGGGAAUUGAGUUGUCUUACCUUCGCUUAAGUGACUUACAAUAUUGCAUGAUUUUCUGACAUAUUUAAAUUUCUUACGUACGUUUGAGAUAUCGAAUACUUUAUUCAGUUCAGUCAUCCUCAUGCUUCUCACCUAUAAUAUUUCAUUAAAUGACAUCAAAUCUGAUAAAAAUACCCUCUGAA